UAAGACGAACCAUGCAAACGUUAUUCGGAUUCACUGGGCUUAAAGCGUGCGUAGGCGGCGGUGUUAGUCAGGUGUGAAAGCCCUCAGCCCAACUGAGGAAUUGCGCUUGAUACUGCAUCGCUAGAGAAUGAUAGAGGUGGGUGGAACUGAUGGUGGAGCGGUGAAAUGCGUUGAUAUCAUCAGGAACACCAGUGGCGAAGGCGACCCACUGGGUCAUUUCUGACGCUGAGGUACGAAAGCUAGGGUAGCGAACGGG
RNAcentral lists this ribosomal RNA (256 nucleotides) under uncultured bacterium. RNAcentral describes it as "partial 16S ribosomal RNA". It matches the Rfam family "Bacterial small subunit ribosomal RNA", at positions 521 to 776 of the family's 1533-position model. The record is from RNAcentral.